CAGCAGUGAGGAAUAUUGGUCAAUGGGAGAGAUCCUGAACCAGCCAAGCCGCGUGAGGGAAGACGGCCCUAUGGGUUGUAAACCUCUUUUGUCGGAGAACAAAACCCGGGACGAGUCCCGGAUUGCGUGUAUCCGAAGAAAAAGCAUCGGCUAACUCCGUGCCAGCAGCCGCGGUAAUACGGAGGAUGCGAGCGUUAUCCGGAUUUAUUGGGUUUAAAGGGUGCGUAGGCGGUCCGUUAAGUCAGCGGUAAAAUUGCGGGGCUCAACCCCGUCGAGCCGUUGAAACUGGCAGACUUGAGUUGGCGAGAAGUACGCGGAAUGCGCGGUGUAGCGGUGAAAUGCAUAGAUAUCGCGCAGAACUCCGAUUGCGAAGGCAGCGUACCGGCGCCACACUGACGCUGAGGCACGAAAGCGUGGGGAUCGAACAGGAUUAGA
Molecule: ribosomal RNA, 435 nt
Filed under: uncultured Barnesiella sp.
Lineage: Bacteria; Pseudomonadati; Bacteroidota; Bacteroidia; Bacteroidales; Barnesiellaceae
Description: bacterial SSU rRNA
Rfam family: Bacterial small subunit ribosomal RNA
Source: RNAcentral